This is a non-coding RNA of Hordeum vulgare subsp. vulgare (domesticated barley), 124 nucleotides long. The record is from Rfam. Lineage: Eukaryota; Viridiplantae; Streptophyta; Magnoliopsida; Poales; Poaceae.
UAUUUACUCCCUCCGUCCGGAAAUACUCGUCGUACAAAUAGUUGUAUCUAUUUGUAUUUUAGUUCUGGAUACAUCCAUGUGUAUCCAUUUUUAUGACAAGUAAUUUCGGACGGAGGGGUAUGUG